RNAcentral lists this ribosomal RNA (467 nucleotides) under uncultured bacterium. Its description in RNAcentral is "partial 16S ribosomal RNA". It matches the Rfam family "Bacterial small subunit ribosomal RNA", at positions 28 to 507 of the family's 1533-position model. The record is from RNAcentral.
GACGAACGCUGGCGGCGUGCUUAACACAUGCAAGUCGAACGGAAAGGCCCUGCUUUUGUGGGGUGCUCGAGUGGCGAACGGGUGAGUAACACGUGAGUAACCUGCCCUUGACUUUGGGAUAACUUCAGGAAACUGGGGCUAAUACCGGAUAGGAGCUCCUGCUGCAUGGUGGGGGUUGGAAAGUUUCGGCGGUUGGGGAUGGACUCGCGGCUUAUCAGCUUGUUGGUGGGGUAGUGGCUUACCAAGGCUUUGACGGGUAGCCGGCCUGAGAGGGUGACCGGCAACAUUGGGACUGGGAUACGGCCAGACUCCUACGGGAGGCAGCAGUGGGGAAUAUUGCACAAUGGGCGGAAGCCUGAUGCAGCAACGCCGCGUGCGGGAUGACGGCCUUCGGGUUGUAAACCGCUUUCGCCUGUGACGAAGCGUGAGUGACGGUAAUGGGUAAAGAAGCACCGGCUAACUACGUG